UCUGGUAUCCAAGUGAUAUGUUAAUAACCUAAACAUUCUUUCUGUUUUUCAAAUCGAUCAUAGUCUAUAUAUGGUUUCGCUUUACUGUUCCAGGAAAUAUAUAAGGAGGGAUGAAAUUUCAAUCUUGGCUGAAUUGUGCCGUUUUCCUUCCUGAGAGCACUUAAACGAACUAGAACAAGAAGUUCAGGCUGCAUGGAUGAAGUUGCAGUUCUGACAAAGCUACACAAUACAGAACUCUCUAAGGUCCUUAAAAAGCUUGAGAGACAGUUUAAUGGAUUUAAGUAUUCAAAUUUUGAUUUCUAUACUUCACAUAGUGAAAGAAUAAAUCAUCCCACCGAAUAUGGUUUUGAUUGUUGCAACUUGAAUGUGAUGAUUUUGAGAUAAAAGUGGCAUGUUGUGGCGCUAGUCCGUAGUGAGGUUCCAAGUGUGGUCUGAACAAGUUCGAAUUAUGCGAUAAUGCGAGUGAAUAUCUCUUCUUUGAUGGAAUUCAUCCAGCAGAUGAGGUUCAUAAUCAAUUUGCAAAGUUGUUGUGGAGUGGAAAUCCUGAUGUUGGAGGGCCUUACAGUCUCAAAACACUGUUUGAGGAAUAGCAUAAAUGAUAAAACAAGGUGUACUUUUUUCCAGAUGCUGUAUUAGUUAACCCAGAAGCCAAAGAAUACUUGCUUCUCUUUAUUCUA
Long non-coding RNA from Populus nigra (black poplar), 677 nucleotides. RefSeq lists it as uncharacterized. The transcript is spliced from 2 exons. The record is from RefSeq and is a predicted model, not a curated record. Lineage: Eukaryota; Viridiplantae; Streptophyta; Magnoliopsida; Malpighiales; Salicaceae.